Carassius auratus (goldfish) is the source of this 1620-nucleotide long non-coding RNA. RefSeq lists it as uncharacterized. The record is from RefSeq and is a predicted model, not a curated record. The transcript is spliced from 3 exons. NCBI's taxonomy places the organism in Eukaryota, Metazoa, Chordata, Actinopteri, Cypriniformes, Cyprinidae.
UCAUCUAAUGCUGUGUUCAGACUCUGUCAGCAGAUUGUCAUUUGACUGACAGCUUCUGAUCAAUGUGGAAGCAGCCAAAUAUCUCCAAAUGAAAGAAAACUCGGGUUUAUCUUUGCAACAAUACCCUUCACAAGGUGUUCAGAUGAAGAAAAAAAGAGGAUAAAACUCCAGAAGAAGGACACGGAUUCAGUUCACAUUAAGAGGAGCAUCCAGCAGGACACAAAGAAGAUAAAAAAAAAUAAUAAAAAAAAAAAUUUGGUAAAUGUAACGUGUUAUAUCUGUAGAUAUAUUGGGAUUAAUCAGAGGAUUACAUCUUAAAGUUACUGAAAUAUUGAAGAAAACGUAUCGUAAAGUCAUCAAAGACAUGAGAAGACAUUUACAAUUACCCAUAGAAGGUCUGUGAUACCAUACUCUCACACACCAUGGACCAGUUCUCCUUCACAAACACCUUGUUAGUGUCACUGUGCUUCAAGCAGACAGGUUUGAACAGGACACAAUGGUGUUUCCUGAAGAUGCACUGAGCAGGACUUUGAAGGUCUAUCCAGAGCUCAGUGAGAGUAAGCUGAAGACAGAGCUUAGUCUCAUCUACUGCAAGGAAGAGUUCAGAAGCUCUCGUGCUGCUGUGGACCUUCUCCAGCUGUUUAUGGAGAACAAUCUUGAGGAAUAUUUUAAGAGGAGGAAAUAUGAUGAGGAAAAAAGGGAAAUGAUUCAAAUAAAGACAGACAUUGUAAAUGAUAAUGUUCAGAAGCUUUAAGAAGGAAAUACUUGUGUUCAAACAUCUCAUGAUUUACCCCCAAACAUACAGGAUUGAUGGAAAGAAUAAUAUUAAUUUCUAAAUGUCCUAGUUUGUCAUACACUGCUCCACACUCCAGUCUCGUGUGUGGCAUUAAUGCACCUUUAAAAUCAGCCACCAAUCAAAUCAAAAGAAGAAGAAGAAGCUUUUCCUACAAGAAAAAUCCUGAUCCAUACUUUAUUCCAGUUGGUGGCGGUAAUGAAACAGUUUGGCUGCAAUCCGCCAAUAAACACCAGAGAAGAAGAAGUAGAGCCGAUGACGUCAGCACUCGCGCACGCUUCAGUUUAGCGGUUUUCUGAACCCAUAAGUACAAGCAUCAAAUCAUCAUGAAGAAGAUAAAUCUGCAGAGACAGAGUUUACUGAAGGACAGAGAGAACAUGAGAGAUCUAGAACCCUGCAGAACCAAACACACUGAAAAACAAACAGCUUGUGUUUAUUAUUUUAUUGAAUCUGUAUCUAUCUGUAUUUUUAGGUUCUACUGUUAGUGUUAUCUGUAUGCACUGUGAGCCUGAGAGUAACACUAUUUCAAUUCUCUGUAUUUAUGUACUGUACAUGUGAAGAAUUGAUAAUAUAACAGACUUCAUUAUAGUCUGUUAAACCAUGUUAUUUGCUUCUAACCAAUUUAUUUCUGAAUUUGUACAUUCCUAUUGUUUAUUAUUUUCUUAUCUUUUUUAUAUUUAAUACGGAACACUACUUUUUUAGUCUUUAAUGUGGGAUGAUUCUCUUUUCAACCCUCAGCUGGACAAAGUAAUGAUGGACUCAAAGAUUAGUUGGACAUUGAGCCUAUACACAAUAAAGAAGCAGAAACUGUAGAACAAGUAUUAAUA